UGCUAAAGGAAAUCAAUCCUGAAGAAUCAUUGGAAGAACUUAUGUUGAAGCUCCAAUACGUCAGCCACCUGAUUCAAAGAGCUUAUUCAUUGGAGAAGACCCUGAUGUUGAGAAAGAUUGAAGGCAAAGGAGAAGGGGGCGGCAGAGGAUGAGAUGGUUAGAUAGCAUCACCAACUCAGAGUACAUGAAUUUGAGCAAACUCCAAUAGAUAGUGGAGAACAGAGGAGCCUGGCAUGCUGCAGUCCAUGGGGUUGCAGAGUUGGACACAACUUAGAAGCUGAACAGUAGCAUGGUAGUUGUUGGUUGUACUACAAAACUGAUGACUUUGAAGUCACCACACUUGGCAUGGAGCUUGCUGAAGUGAAAAGAGAAGUGAAGAGCUUGCUGAGAAGCUUUUAAUCUGAGAAGGUUUCAUCUGACAUCCCUCAGUUUCUCCAAAAUUCACUGGCACAAGAAUCCUUACCUCAGACUCUGCUUCUUGAGAAACUGACAUGAGAUAGUAAAAUAUUUGAUGUUAAAACAGUUAUGCAAAGAAGACAAGACAAAAAGAUCAAUAAUAAAAGCAAAAACAAUAACCAAAAGGAAGGACUAGAUUUUUCCUCCUUUCAGGACAACCUCUUCUUAUCCAAAACAUGUGAUAAAAAUGACAGUUUUUUAAGUGAGAUCUAACAAGUCAGCCAAAAUAAUUAGAAACUCAAAGGAAGACUAUUUGGGACUUCCCUGGUGGUACAACUGUACCAACUUCCAGUGCAGGGGACAUGUGUCUAAUCCCUGGUCUGGGAAGAUUACAUGUACUGUGGAGCAGCUAAGCCUGUACACCACAACUACUGAGCCCCUGCUCCAGAGCCUACAAGUCUCAACUACUGAGCCUGCACUCCAGAGCUACUAAAGCCCGUGCACCCAGAGCCUGUGCUCAACAAGAGAAGCCACUGCAAUGAGAGGCCCAUGCACUGCAAUGAAAGAAUAGCCUCUGCCUGCCACAACUAGAGAAAGCCUGCACACAGCAGUGAAUACCCAGUGCAACCCAAAAGAAAUAAUUUUAAAUACAGAUUUCUAUCCACUUUUCUAGCAAAUGAAUCUUGCCUUAGUGGCCAUAAUGGAUUGAGG
Molecule: long non-coding RNA, 1107 nt
Organism: Bos taurus (domestic cattle)
Lineage: Eukaryota; Metazoa; Chordata; Mammalia; Artiodactyla; Bovidae
Source: Ensembl